This 217-nucleotide ribosomal RNA is filed under the name uncultured Glomus. RNAcentral describes it as "partial 18S rRNA". The stretch from base 23 to 217 matches the Rfam family "Eukaryotic small subunit ribosomal RNA", at positions 667 to 864 of the family's 1831-position model. Lineage: Eukaryota; Fungi; Glomeromycota; Glomeromycetes; Glomerales; Glomeraceae. The record is from RNAcentral.
GGAUUAGUAGGUUGGUCAUGCCUCUGGUAUGUACUGAUCUCACUGAUUCCUCCCUCUUGACGAAACUGUAAUGUCAUUAAUUUGGUGUUGCAGGAAAUCAGGAACUGUUACUUUGAAAAAAUUAGAGUGUUUAAAGCAGGCUAAGGCUUGAAUACAUUACAUGGAAUAAUGAAAUAGGACGUUUGAUCCUAUUUUGUUGGUUUCUAGGAUUGACGUA